RNAcentral lists this ribosomal RNA (506 nucleotides) under uncultured Candidatus Poseidoniales archaeon. RNAcentral's name for it is "bacterial SSU rRNA". It matches the Rfam family "Archaeal small subunit ribosomal RNA", at positions 1 to 512 of the family's 1478-position model. The record is from RNAcentral. Lineage: Archaea; Methanobacteriati; Thermoplasmatota; Candidatus Poseidoniia; Candidatus Poseidoniales.
UUCCGGUUGAUCCUGCCGGAGGCGACCGCUAUUGGAGUUCGAUUAAGCCAUGCGAGUCGCGAGAAAUUAGAUUCUCGGCGUACCGCUCAGUAACACGUGGAUAACCUGCCCUGUUCAGGGGGAUAACCUCGCGAAAGUGAGAAUAAUACCCCAUAGUUCACCAUGCCUGGAACGGUUGGUGGAUGAAAGCUACGGCGGAACAGGAUGGGUCUGCGGCGUAUCAGGUUGUAGGGGGUGUAAUGGACCUCCUAGCCAUCGACGCGUACGGGUUGUGGGAGCAAUCGCCCGGAGAUGGAUUCUGAGACACGAAUCCAGACCCCACGGGGUGCAGCAGGCGCGAAAACUUGACAAUGCGAGAAAUCGUGAUCAGGGAACUCCAAUUGACGCAGUUUUUACUGUUGUCUGAACCGACUCUAAAUAGGUCGGGUAAUAGGGGCGGGAAAUAUCGGUGCCAGCCGCCGCGGUAAUACCGAAGCCCCAAGUGGUCGUCGAUCUUAUUGGGCCUA